This 115-nucleotide ribosomal RNA is filed under the name Candidatus Moranbacteria bacterium CG_4_9_14_3_um_filter_36_9. Lineage: Bacteria; Candidatus Moraniibacteriota. The record is from RNAcentral.
UUUGGUGGUCCUUGCGAAGUGGCAACACCCGAUCCCAUCCCGAACUCGGCCGUUAAGCAUUUCAGCACCGAUGAUAUUUCCGAUUUUUCGGAAUGAAAGUAGGACGCCGCCAAAA